CACCGGCGGCUCGAGUGGUGGCCACUUUUAUUGGGUCUAAAGCGUCCGUAGCCGGCUUGGCAAGUCCCCUGGGAAAUCUGGCGGCUUAAACGUCAGGCGUCCAGAGGAUACUGCCAGGCUUGGGACCGGGAGAGGUGAGAGGUACCUCAGGGGUAGGGGUGAAAUCGUGUGAUCCCUGAGGGACCACCAGUGGCGAAGGCGUCUCACUAGAACGGGUCCGACGGUCAGGGACGAAAGCUGGGGGCACGAACCGG
This 254-nucleotide ribosomal RNA is filed under the name uncultured microorganism. RNAcentral describes it as "partial 16S ribosomal RNA". It matches the Rfam family "Archaeal small subunit ribosomal RNA", at positions 474 to 727 of the family's 1478-position model. The record is from RNAcentral.